RNAcentral lists this unclassified non-coding RNA (261 nucleotides) under Hevea brasiliensis (rubber tree). Lineage: Eukaryota; Viridiplantae; Streptophyta; Magnoliopsida; Malpighiales; Euphorbiaceae. The record is from RNAcentral.
GGAUGAUAUACUGCACAAUAUACUUUCAUAUCUGUACAUCUUUGAUGUUGUUCAGCUAAGCAUUUUAUCGAAAAGAUGGAACUAUAUAUGGAGGACAAUGCCUUACUUGAAUUUUGAUAUUAAUAGCUUUGGUUGUGAAAGGAUUGAUAGGCUUUGGGAUAUGGGUAUGGCUGAGAAAUUCAAAGAUUUUAUCAAUUGGGUGUUGAUUAACCGAUGUGGGGAUAGCCUUGUUUGUUUUAAGCUUUGUUGUGGGGAUAUUUU